AUGGUCCUUGAAGUAUUUUACCCCAUUCUUCAGCCCAAAAAAGGCUCCUAGAGUAGUUCUGCAAAGAUAAAUAAUAAGGCAAUCUCUAUUCUCAGGCUUACCAUAUAAAAGACAUGUCACAAAAAGGAGGAGUGGGAGGGAGGAGGCAAACAAACGCAACCACUAGUUCUCAACUACAAAGUUCUUGUAAUGACCAGGAGGAAUAGCAGCAGUUCAAGGAGAGGCAGAGUUAACAGUAGCUGGUCUUUCAGCUAAGCUAAUAGAAUGAACCCGCUUCCCUUUUCUUCCUCCCGCUGCUGCAUCCUAAAGAAACAGGCUAUCUUUCUGGUUUGAGCAAGGAGACGACUCGACUGCUUAUUUUUGUAUUUCACUUUCUAUGCCCUGCCUUCCUGUGAUAAAACCCAACUGAAGAUGGUUCCCACCAAAAAAAAAUAGCUUUCACUAUUCCUACAAAUAUUGAAAGAUGUCUUGAGAUGUGGGGACCUUGGCUUUCUUAAGUGGUCUAUGGGCAAGUUCACCCACACCUAAAUACAUCCACCUCUAAAACCAGAACAAGUCUCGUGCCUCACAGGGUUUUUUUUUAUUGAGAUGAAUGAGGAUUGUUGUAAACCAUUUUGCCCAUUAAUGGUGCCAUGUAAGCAAUCAUUGAAAGCAAAGCUAUGCAAAUAGAGAGAGUAGUAUGAAAUUUAUGAUUAAUAGUGCUGACAUCUCAUAAUUCAUAAUGUAUAGCAAUUAGGUGUAGGCACCGUUCAGUUAUAAAUUUCAUAACAGGAAAUGGCAUAGUUGUAAACACUUAUUUAAAUGCAGCCAAUUUCCACUCUCAGAUGGCACUUGACAAGAGGGUAUGAGCUUAAUAAUAUGAUUUCCUUCCUUUCCUGAGACAGAAACCAGUUUCUCAGUUCAGUCAUUGAAAGAAAGAAGUGCUGUUUAUUGGAACAAAAAGGAAAGGCUAUCUAAUUUUAAACUCCUGCUACAUUAAAAAUUAUUCCAACUCCUUAAAAAAACAACAACCGGGAACUGUAUUAGUGAACAGAUGUUUCCAUUGAGCUGUCCACAAUGGAUUCCCUGGGUUUUUCUUCCUGGAUAGUUAACAUUUAAUUUAAAGCUAAGCUACCUGAGUAAAUAGUCAGUUUGGUUCAAUGUGCACUAUGUUUUAUUUGUCAACUCUGAAUAUCAUCUGCCAUUCAAAUUGCCAGGUCCCACUGCAGUUUCCUAGUCUUGAUUAACUUCAUAAUUUAUAUUGUAAAAAGGCAUCCAAAUGACUUGAUUUGUGCAAUGAAGAUAGGGCAUUAACAUUCUUUCUUUCCUUCUCCGUAUGGAAAACCUCAGUUUCUGCAAGAAGAAAUGACCCAUGAGACUUUUAAACUGAUCUUUGUGAAGAUGUUUAAAGUGAAAUAUUCAUGGUGUUUGUUGGAAUAAUAAAUUAAAAAUUUGCCAACAAUUUGCUAACCUUUAUUCUGAUAUUCAUAGAAUUGUAGAGUUGGCAGAGACCAUGAGGGUCAUUGAAUCCAACUGUAAGGCAAGAGUCUUUUUGUCCAAUGUGGGACUUGAACCCACAACUGUGAGAUUAAGUGUUUCAUGCUCUACAGACUGAGCUAUCCACUUAGCAGGAUAUUAUUCUCAGACGGGUUCUCUCCAAAAUCCAUUGUGAUGAGGUUUGCUUUACACAUUCUUGAGAAAUAAUUCUUUAUUCUAAUACUAUGCUGGCACUGAUAUUCGGUUCAGAAUGUUUACCCAAUAUUUAUUUAGUUCCAUUGGGUUAAUUCUGCCCCUUCUUCCCCAUUGGCGUUUAUACUUUUCAAACAACUGGCUGAUAUUCUGCAACAACUGUAUGGUGUUGGAAGGAGCAUUUCUUUGUUGUUUUAUCAAUUGCAUUACCUUUUAGUUUCCAAAUUGAAUUCAUUUCUGCCUGUGUUUCGAAUCUUUUCUCACUAGCCAUUUCAUUUCCCCCGCUUUAUUUGUAACAUUUCUUCCAGCUUCCAUAGCACCUGCAUUUAUGCCUCCUUCCAAAUACUGAUGGUGAUAGAGACUGACCUUAACAUUGGUUUCAUUAUACCCUUAUGAGGUAUCUGUGGUCAGCUCAUUGUGUGUGUAGUUCUUUUCAUUCCUCUUUAUUCUUUUUUAUUUUAACCUGCGUCACACUUUUCCUAUCCCUGCCAGUUAAACUCGGGGCUACAACAAAGAGCCUUGGAAAGGGUGUUAAUUCAUCAGUCUGUGCUAGGAAUAGAAGUUGUACUGAUGGAAUGGGGAUUGCCUAAAAUAUCCUUUUUUUGCCUCUGAGAGCUGUUCUACCCAUUACUCUUAGCACAUGAAUGCCACCAGCAAAUGUCCUCCAGCGUAGAGUCAGAAUAGCUUAGAAAACAAGCCACAUUAUUUCCGAUUUGGAGUGGGAGGGCGAGCAAUAACUUUGCACAAUUUUUUCUGCAGCAUUUUGUACUAGUUGGAGCUUCUGAAUGUUUUUCAAAAGUGACCCCAUAUAGGAUGUGCUAUAGUAGUUCAAGCUAGAAGUAACCAAGGCAGGUAUCACCAUGGCUAAGUUGUGGGUGGUGCAGGUCACUGCUGUCAGUUACUGCUGUUCAAUUCUACAAGAGAAUAUACUCUACCCACUGAAUUUCAGCCGAAGAGCAGUCAGAACCUUGUGGAUCAUUUUUCUCAUGGAAGACCUUAUCUGUUAAAGAACCCACCAACAUCAGGCUCAACUCCAGAUACCAAAAAAAUCACCCCAAGCGGCAGCUUGUUAAGUCUGACAGUUCUUCCACUUUAUGAGUCUCCAGGACACCUCUUCCAAUUACAUCAGCUUCUGAAUAGUGCAUGGAUAGCAUAAUCAAAAGCAGGAGUGGACAAUAGUGUGGCCUGCAAAUGUUGUUGAACCACAACUAUAAUCUUUGACCAUUGGCCGUUCUGGCUAGAUCUGAAGGGAGUUGGAGUCCAAAAACACCUGGAGAACACCAUAUUUUCUACCCCUGGUCAGGAGAAUACAACCAUUUCUUUUGUAGCAAUCAGAACAUAAAAUGGAUGGCUUAUGUUGUAAAUUUCAUUGGGAGAAAAGCAAUGACAAACCUAGACAGCAUCUUAAAAAGCAGAGACAUCACCUUGCCAACAAAGGUCCAUAUAGUUAAAGUAGUGGUGUAUGGAAGUGAGAGCUGAACCAUAAAGAAGGCUGAUCGCCGAAGAAUUGAUGCUUUUGAAUUAUGGUGCUGGAGGAGACUUUUGAGAGUCCCAUGGACUACAAGAAGAUCAAACCUCUCCAUUCUGAAGGAAAUCAGCCCUGAGUGCUCACUGGAAGGACAGAUCCUGAAGCUGAGGCUCUAAUACUUUGGCCACCUCAUGAGAAGAGAAGACUCCCUGGAAAAGACCCUGAUGUUGGGAAAGAUGGAGGGCACAAGGAGAAGGGGACGACAGAGGACAAGAUGGUUGGACAGUGUUCUCGAAGCUACCAACAUAAGUUUGACCAAACUGCGGGAGGCAGUGGAAGACAGGAGUGCCUGGUGUGCUCUGGUCCAUGAGGUCAUGAAGAGUCGGACACAACUAAACGACUAAACAACAAAUGUUGUAAAUGUUUCAUUCGGUCUCCACUUCAUUCUAUUUUGUUUUCUGGCUAUCACUUCAUGGUUUGGCUCAGUUUACCUGGUUGUGAGCCAGCACUUUAGGCUUUUCUUUCUUUCUUUCGUAAUGUCCGUCUCUGUACUAGCUGACUAGAUGAGACCAUGGAUAGCACUGGAAGCCCUGGCUCCAAGGGAGACGGAACGUAAUUGUAGCAGAUGAAGGGCACUCUCGGUAGCUUUUCCAAGAGUGCUGAGAUUAGACAGUAAUCAUUGUUUGUAAGCAGACAAGAAGAAGGGGUAAUCAGCCUGCCAGCCCUGACUGAUUAUUCAUGGAAUUAAUGUGAGCAGCUUAAGAACUUGCACUUGUGUAAAGCCGCACAAUUAUCAGCAAACCUUCUCUCCUGGUGCAGCAGCACCAAGCAAGGAAGACCCAUCGCCAGACAGGUGGAAAACUAUGGCUGCAGAAAAUGCUGAAGAGUUGAGAUCUGGAUCAUUAAAAACUAUAUGUUAGUCCAGACCAAGUGAGUGUUCUGAAAUCAAUGGGCUACAUUCGUCAUGGCCAACUUAAGUCAGGCAAGCACAUGCUCUCCUUUAGAGACUUUUUACCACAAAGCUUUUCUUUAUGCUUUAUUGAAAAUAAAGAAAAUAUUACAAACAAGCAUAUAUAUAGUCGAAACAAAAAUACAAAAAAAGUUAACAACAUUUGUUCUCUAGACAUUCUUCUUAAUUCCCCAGUGACUUCCUGCCACCCCAUCAUGUAUUUACUGUCUAUUUUACCUGGUGCACUGUUUUAGAUCUUGCUUUUCAUUGCUUUCAUGAUUCCAAAGCUGGAUACACAAAGAAAAACAAAGGGAACACCCUGUGGUACCUGUAGACACAAAGUUCCUUAUAACUGAUUUAUCUCUCCCCGCCCCCCACCGCCUCCACAUGAAAGUUUGUUUAACUCCAGGAAAUUUAGUGAUCUUGGAUUUGUCCAUAUUGUCAUGAUCCGUGAUCCUGGAACCUUCCAGUGCGGAGUAACCAACUUGAAUGAGGAUGAGACUCGAGCUUCUUCUUUGGAGGGGAGAACUGGCAGACCCAUAUUUGUGUCCCUUCCAGCCAGCGGAAACAGCCCUUCCACCAUUUCUGGACUCGGACUAUGAGACCCCUGAUGUACAGUGGUACCUCGGGUUACAUACGUUUCAGGUUACAGACGCUUCAGGUUACAGACUCCACUAACCCAGAACUAGUACCUCGGGUUAAGAACUUUGCUUCAGGAUGGGAACAGAAAUCGUGCUCCAGCGACGUGGCGGCAGCUGGAGGCCCCAUUAGCUAAAGUGGUGCUUCAGGUUAAGAACAGUUUCAGGUUAAGAACAGACCUCUGGAAUGAAUUAAGUACUUAACCCAAGGUACCACUGUAUUUCCAUCUCUCCAGCUUCUCAGAGACUGUAAAAUCAGGCAAGGGCCUUUAGCAACUUAUCCAACUUCUUUAGGGAAACAGAGAUAAUUACAUGGCAGGUCUUUUCAGCCAAUAUAAGGUUUCACCUCCCUGCUGGGACAGCAUUUCCUUUCCCUAGCAAAAGAGAGCUUCUGUCAACAUGACUGAACCUAUUCCAAGGUCCUGUUCUGGUUGCCCUCUGCAUAAGAGAGGGAACUGCCAUGAUCUGCCCUUGGCAGCCAUACCUUGACAUAUUGCUUGCCUUGACUGGUGUUUACUUGCUUGGUUUGACCCAGAUUUGACUUCACCAGAUACUACCUCUUCUCCAUUGAGCCUCAAGCUCCCAUAGAACAGGAUACACAUUGGAUGUGACAUAGAUCAGAGGCUUUUACAGACAUCCCUAUUGUGUCUAGUUCAGUUUUCUGUGGCCUUAGAGACAGAGUGGAUUUAUUGAUAGGAAACAGCCCUUGCUGUGGAAGAGCAGGAAUUGGUUAGAGUUUCCCCAAUUCUUUUUGUUUUUGUUUUAUUUUAGAUCAGCUCAAAAUGUUGGCAACUAAUAUUCUUUGACAAGUCUUGGAAGAUACCGCACAUGAGGCAGAAGCAAGGGAAAUUUCAUAGCUUUCUGAGAAAUGUUGCAAAUAAGCUUGGAAUCUCAUCUGUAAUUAUGAACACUGCAGGUAGCCAUGAGUGCAAUUCAGUCAUGAUACAAAGCCAAGCACCCAGCAAAGCAGCUCAGUGUUCCUCUGAUGUGAAAUGAGAAGAGCAAUUAAAUAACCGUCUCUGAAAAUUCAGCCAGAGAAUCAUCCAGGGGAAAGGAAGGGCCUUU
Molecule: non-coding RNA, 5788 nt
Organism: Podarcis lilfordi (Lilford's wall lizard)
Lineage: Eukaryota; Metazoa; Chordata; Lepidosauria; Squamata; Lacertidae
Source: the annotation of a GenBank genome assembly